GACGAACGCUGGCGGCGUGCUUAACACAUGCAAGUCGAACGGAAAGGCCCUGCUUUUGUGGGGUGCUCGAGUGGCGAACGGGUGAGUAACACGUGAGUAACCUGCCCUUGACUUUGGGAUAACUUCAGGAAACUGGGGCUAAUACCGGAUAGGAGCUCCUGCUGCAUGGUGGGGGUUGGAACGUUUCGGCGGUUGGGGCUGGACUCGCGGCUUAUCAGCUUGUUGGUGGGGUAGUGGCUUACCAAGGCUUUGACGGGUAGCCGGCCUGAGAGGGUGACCGGCCACAUGGGGACUGAGAUACGGCCCAGACGCCUACGGGAGGCAGUAGUGGGGAAUAUUGCACAAUGGUCGGAAGCCUGAUGCAGCAACGCCGCGUGCGGGAUGACGGCCUUCGGGUUGUAAACCGCUUUCGCCUGUGACGAAGCGUGAGUGACGGUAAUGGGUAAAUAAGCACCGGCUAACUACGUG
RNAcentral lists this ribosomal RNA (468 nucleotides) under uncultured bacterium. Its description in RNAcentral is "partial 16S ribosomal RNA". It matches the Rfam family "Bacterial small subunit ribosomal RNA", at positions 28 to 507 of the family's 1533-position model. The record is from RNAcentral.